UAGGGAAUCUUCCACAAUGGGCGAAAGCCUGAUGGAGCGACGCCGCGUGUGUGAUGAAGGGUUUCGGCUCGUAAACACUGUUGUAAGAGAAGAAUGACAUUGAGAGUAACUGUUCAAUGUGUGACGGUAUCUUACCAGAAAGGAACGGCUAAAUACGUGCCAG
This 163-nucleotide ribosomal RNA is filed under the name uncultured bacterium. RNAcentral's name for it is "partial 16S rRNA". It matches the Rfam family "Bacterial small subunit ribosomal RNA", at positions 355 to 511 of the family's 1533-position model. The record is from RNAcentral.